This 148-nucleotide small RNA is filed under the name Papio anubis (olive baboon). RNAcentral's name for it is "Metazoan signal recognition particle RNA (ENSPANG00000048070.1)". Lineage: Eukaryota; Metazoa; Chordata; Mammalia; Primates; Cercopithecidae. The record is from Rfam by way of RNAcentral.
GCUGGGUGUGGUGGCGUGCACCUGUAAUCCCAGCUACUUGGGAGGCUGAGGCAGGAGAAUUGCUUGGACCUGGGAGGCGGAGGUUGCAGUGAACCAAGAUUAUGCCACUGCACUCCAGCCUGGGUGACAAAGCAAGACUCUGUCUCAA